AUGAACGCUGACAGAAUGCUUAACCCAUGCAAGUCAACUUGAACUUCGGUUUGGGUGGCGGACGGGUGAGUAACGCGUAAAGAACUUGCCUCACAGCUAGGGACAACAUUUGGAAACGAAUGCUAAUACCUGAUAUUAUGAUUUUAGGGCAUCCUAGAAUUAUGAAAGCUAUAUGCGCUGUGAGAGAGCUUUGCGUCCCAUUAGCUAGUUGGAGAGGUAACGGCUCACCAAGGCGAUGAUGGGUAGCCGGCCUGAGAGGGUGAACGGCCACAAGGGGACUGAGACACGGCCCUUACUCCUACGGGAGGCAGCAGUGGGGAAUAUUGGACAAUGGACCAAGAGUCUGAUCCAGCAAUUCUGUGUGCACGAUGAAGUUUUUCGGAAUGUAAAGUGCUUUCAGUUGGGAAGAAAAAAAUGACGGUACCAACAGAAGAAGUGACGGCUAAAUACGUG
Molecule: ribosomal RNA, 453 nt
Filed under: uncultured bacterium
Lineage: Bacteria
Description: partial 16S ribosomal RNA
Rfam family: Bacterial small subunit ribosomal RNA
Source: RNAcentral